Molecule: ribosomal RNA, 433 nt
Filed under: uncultured bacterium
Lineage: Bacteria
Description: partial 16S ribosomal RNA
Rfam family: Bacterial small subunit ribosomal RNA
Source: RNAcentral
AACGAACGCUGGCGGCAUGCCUAACACAUGCAAGUCGAACGAGACCUUCGGGUCUAGUGGCGCACGGGUGCGUAACGCGUGGGAACCUGCCCUUAGGUUCGGAAUAACUCCCCGAAAGGGGUGCUAAUACCGGAUAAUGUCUUCGGACCAAAGAUUUAUCGCCUUUGGAUGGGCCCGCGUUGGAUUAGCUUGUUGGUAGGGUAAAAGCCUACCAAGGCGACGAUCCAUAGCUGGUCUGAGAGGAUGAUCCGCCACACUGGGACUGAGACACGGCCCAGACUCUUACGGGAGGCAGCAGUGGGGAAUAUUGGACAAUGGGCGAAAGCCUGAUCCAGCAAUGCCGCGUGAGUGAUGAAGGCCGUAGGGUUGUAAAGCUCUUUUACCCGGGAUGAUAAUGACAGUACCGGGAGAAUAAGCUCCGGCUAACUCCGUG